GCGGGAAUAGCUCAGUCGGUAGAGCGCAACCUUGCCAAGGUUGAGGUCGCGAGUUCGAGCCUCGUUUCCCGCUCCA
This 76-nucleotide transfer RNA is filed under the name Candidatus Glomeribacter gigasporarum BEG34. RNAcentral's name for it is "tRNA-Gly". It matches the Rfam family "tRNA". Rfam says of the family: Transfer RNA (tRNA) molecules are approximately 80 nucleotides in length. Their secondary structure includes four short double-helical elements and three loops (D, anti-codon, and T loops). Lineage: Bacteria; Pseudomonadati; Pseudomonadota; Betaproteobacteria; Burkholderiales; Burkholderiaceae. The record is from RNAcentral.